CGGAGGGUGCAAGCGUUAUCCGGAUUUAUUGGGUUUAAAGGGUCCGCAGGCGGACUAUUAAGUCAGUGGUGAAAGCCCACAGCUCAACUGUGGAAUUGCCAUUGAUACUGGUAGUCUUGAGUGCGUAUGAAGUUGGCGGAAUGUGUGGUGUAGCGGUGAAAUGCUUAGAUAUCACACAGAACACCGAUUGCGAAGGCAGCUGACUAAUACGUUACUGACGCUCAGGGACGAAAGUGUGGGGAUCAAACAGGAUUAGAUACCCUGGUAGUCCACACCGUAAACGAUGAUCACUAGAUUUUGGUCGUAAGAUCAGAGUCCAAGCGAAAGUGUUGAGUGAUCCACCUGGGGAGUACGUCCGCAAGGAUGA
Molecule: ribosomal RNA, 367 nt
Filed under: uncultured organism
Description: bacterial SSU rRNA
Rfam family: Bacterial small subunit ribosomal RNA
Source: RNAcentral